RNAcentral lists this ribosomal RNA (482 nucleotides) under uncultured bacterium. RNAcentral's name for it is "bacterial SSU rRNA". It matches the Rfam family "Bacterial small subunit ribosomal RNA", at positions 30 to 507 of the family's 1533-position model. The record is from RNAcentral.
AUUGAACGCUGGCGGCAUGCUUUACACAUGCAAGUCGAACGGUAACAGGUCUUCGGAUGCUGACGAGUGGCGAACGGGUGAGUAAUGCAUCGGAACGUGCCCAGUCGUGGGGGAUAACGCAGCGAAAGCUGUGCUAAUACCGCAUACGAUCUAUGGGUGAAAGCGGGGGAUCGCAAGACCUCGCGCUAUUGGAGCGGCCGAUAUCAGAUUAGGUAGUUGGUGGGGUAAAAGCCUACCAAGCCGACGAUCUGUAGCUGGUCUGAGAGGACGACCAGCCACACUGGGACUGAGACACGGCCCAGACUCCUACGGGAGGCAGCAGUGGGGAAUUUUGGACAAUGGGCGCAAGCCUGAUCCAGCCAUGCCGCGUGCGGGAAGAAGGCCUUCGGGUUGUAAACCGCUUUUGUCAGGGAAGAAAUCCUUUGAGUUAAUACCUCGGGGGGAUGACGGUACCUGAAGAAUAAGCACCGGCUAACUACGUG